GCUGUAGCUCAGUGGUAGAGCACUUGCCUAGCAUGCAUGAGGCCCUGGGUUCCGUCCCUAGUACUGCA
Molecule: transfer RNA, 68 nt
Filed under: Marmota marmota marmota (Alpine marmot)
Lineage: Eukaryota; Metazoa; Chordata; Mammalia; Rodentia; Sciuridae
Also listed under: 1 other name
Rfam family: tRNA
About the family: Transfer RNA (tRNA) molecules are approximately 80 nucleotides in length. Their secondary structure includes four short double-helical elements and three loops (D, anti-codon, and T loops).
Source: Rfam by way of RNAcentral